UUCCGGUUGAUCCCGCCGGACCCCACUGCUAUCGAGGUGAGACUUAGCCAGGCCAGUCGAACGACUCGGACUAUGGCGAGAAGUGGCAAACUGCUCAGUAACACGUAGCUAACCUACCCUCAGGACGGAGACAACCCCGGGAAACUGGGGUUAAUCUCCGAUGGGCGUGGAUUCCUGGAAUGGUGUCACGCCGAAACGUUAACACACCAUGUUUGUGUACACGCCUGAGGAUGGGGCUGCGGCCGAUCAGGCAGUUGGUGAGGUAACGGCUCACCAAACCUUUGACCGGUACGGGCCGUGAGAGCGGUAGCCCGGAGAUGGACACUGAGACAAGGGUCCAGGACCUACGGGUCGCAGCCGGUACGAAACCUCCACAAUGCACGCAAGUGCGAUGGGGUUACCUCGAGUGCCGCCUGAAGAAGGCGGCUUUUCCAUUGUGUAAUGAGCCGUGGGAAUAAGGGGGGGGCAAGACUGGUGUCAGCCGCCGCGGUAACACCAGCCCCCCGAGUGGUGGGGAUGUUUAUUUGGCCUAAAACGUCCGUAGCCAGCUAGGUAAAUCUCUCGUUAAAUCCAGCGUCCUAAGCGUUGGGCUGCGAGAGAGACUGCCAAGCUAGAGGGUGGGAGAGGUCAGCGGUAUUUCUGGGGUAGGGGCGAAAUCCAUUGAUCCCAGGAGGACCACCAGUGGCGAAGGCUGCUGACUAGAACACGCCUGACGGUGAGGGACGAAAGCUGGGGUAGCGAAUCGGAUUAGAUACCCGAGUAGUCCCAGCCGUAAACGAUGCAGGCUAGGUGUUGGGUUGGCCACGUGCCGACUCAGUGCCACAGGGAAAGCCAUUAAGCCUGCUGCCUGGGGAGUACGGUCGCAAGGCUGAAACUUAAAGGAAUUGGCGGGAGAGCACCACCAGGCGUGAAGCCUGCGGUUUAAUUGGAGUCAACGCCGGA
This 942-nucleotide ribosomal RNA is filed under the name uncultured archaeon. Its description in RNAcentral is "bacterial SSU rRNA". It matches the Rfam family "Archaeal small subunit ribosomal RNA", at positions 1 to 922 of the family's 1478-position model. The record is from RNAcentral.